Molecule: ribosomal RNA, 446 nt
Filed under: uncultured bacterium
Lineage: Bacteria
Description: bacterial SSU rRNA
Rfam family: Bacterial small subunit ribosomal RNA
Source: RNAcentral
GAUCCUGGCUCAGAGCGAACGCUGGCGGCAGGCCUAACACAUGCAAGUCGAACGAACUCUUCGGAGUUAGUGGCGGACGGGUGAGUAACACGUGGGAACGUGCCUUUAGGUUCGGAAUAACUCAGGGAAACUUGUGCUAAUACCGAAUGUGCCCUUCGGGGGAAAGAUUUAUCGCCUUUAGAGCGGCCCGCGUCUGAUUAGCUAGUUGGUGAGGUAAAGGCUCACCAAGGCGACGAUCAGUAGCUGGUCUGAGAGGAUGAUCAGCCACAUUGGGACUGAGACACGGCCCAAACUCCUACGGGAGGCAGCAGUGGGGAAUCUUGCGCAAUGGGCGAAAGCCUGACGCAGCCAUGCCGCGUGAAUGAUGAAGGUCUUAGGAUUGUAAAAUUCUUUCACCGGGGACGACAAUGACGGUACCCGGAGAAGAAGCCCCGGCUAACUUCGUG